RNAcentral lists this ribosomal RNA (664 nucleotides) under Lagynochthonius sp. 3478. Its description in RNAcentral is "partial large subunit ribosomal RNA". The record is from RNAcentral. Lineage: Eukaryota; Metazoa; Arthropoda; Arachnida; Pseudoscorpiones; Chthoniidae.
AUAUUAUUAAGUGGAGGAAAAGAAACCAAAAGGGAUUCCCCCAGUAGCGGCGAGCGAAAAGGGAUCAGCCCAAAGCCGAAUCCCGCGUCCCUUGGGCGCCGGGAAAUGUGGCGUAUGGGAGGUCGCGUAACGGCGCGUUGAAGGCGGCUCAAGUUUCCAUGAACGGAACUAUUGACCAGAGCGGGUGUGAGUCCCGUACAGUCGCUCUUCUCGCGCGGUGUCAGCCUCCUCCCAGGAGUCGGGUUGCUCGAAAGUGCAGCCCAAAGUGGGUGGUAUGCUCCACCUAAGGCUAAAUAUUCCCGAGAGACCGAUAGCAAAAAAGUACCGUGAGGGAAAGUUGAAAAGRACUYYGAAGAGAGAGUUAAACAGUACGUGAAACCGCUUAGAGGUAAACGGGUGGGCCCUCGAAGUCUGGGUUCUGUAAAUCACUCCAACGAAUACUGUUGGACGUAUUUUCGGUUCUCCAAGGCCGCGACUGGUUGGUCGACCGUCGGCAGGAUUAUAAGGUAGCCUAUUAUUAGGCGAAACACCGUUAUAGCCGAUGGUCGUUGACCGACCAGGUUAGAGAGGAUAUUCCUCAGGCAGGUCCAUCGAGCGACGCUCAUGUGUCGUGGACGUGCCGGGGUCUGCGGUCAGUAGAUCGGGUCCCACCCGACCCGUCUUG